AACGCAUUAAGCACUCCGCCUGGGGAGUACGACCGCAAGGUUGAAACUCAAAGGAAUUGACGGGGGCCCGCACAAGCGGUGGAGCAUGUGGUUUAAUUCGAAGCAACGCGAAGAACCUUACCAGGUCUUGACAUCCUUUGACCACUCUAGAGAUAGAGCUUUCCCUUCGGGGACAAAGUGACAGGUGGUGCAUGGUUGUCGUCAGCUCGUGUCGUGAGAUGUUGGGUUAAGUCCCGCAACGAGCGCAACCCUUAUUGUUAGUUGCCAUCAUUUAGUUGGGCACUCUAGCGAGACUGCCGGUGACAAACCGGAGGAAGGUGGGGAUGACGUCAAAUCAUCAUGCCCCUUAUGACCUGGGCUACACACGUGCUACAAUGGGAAGUACAACGAGUCGCUAGACCGCGAGGUCAUGCAAAUCUCUUAAAGCUUCUCUCAGUUCGGAUUGCAGGCUGCAACUCGCCUGCAUGAAGCCGGAAUCGCUAGUAAUCGCGGAUCAGCACGCCGCGGUGAAUACGUUCCCGGGCCUUGUACACACCGCCCGUCACACCACGAGAGUUUGUAACACCCGAAGUCGGUGAGGUAACCUUUUUGGAGCCAGCCGCCUAAGGUGGGAUAGAUGAUUGGGGUGAAGUCGUAACAAGGUAGCCGUAUCGGAAGGUGCGGCUGGAUCACCUCCUUU
This 679-nucleotide ribosomal RNA is filed under the name Enterococcus faecalis. RNAcentral's name for it is "bacterial SSU rRNA". It matches the Rfam family "Bacterial small subunit ribosomal RNA", at positions 854 to 1533 of the family's 1533-position model. Lineage: Bacteria; Bacillati; Bacillota; Bacilli; Lactobacillales; Enterococcaceae. The record is from RNAcentral. RNAcentral also lists the same sequence under 1 other name.